This 460-nucleotide ribosomal RNA is filed under the name uncultured bacterium. RNAcentral describes it as "partial 16S ribosomal RNA". It matches the Rfam family "Bacterial small subunit ribosomal RNA", at positions 338 to 795 of the family's 1533-position model. The record is from RNAcentral.
CCUACGGGAGGCUGCAGUGAGGAAUAUUGGUCAAUGGGCGGGAGUCUGAACCAGCCAAGUCGCGUGAGGGAAGACGGUCCUAUGGAUUGUAAACCUCUUUAGGCGGGGAGCAAUGCCGGGCACGCGUGCCCGGAUGGAGAGUACCCGCAGAAUAAGCAUCGGCUAACUCCGUGCCAGCAGCCGCGGUAAUACGGAGGAUGCGAGCGUUAUCCGGAUUCAUUGGGUUUAAGGGGUGCGUAGGCGGAUUUUUAAGUCAGCGGUAAAAUGUCCGGGCUCAACCCGGGCCGGCCGUUGAAACUGGGGAUCUUGAGUGGGCGAGAAGUAUGCGGAAUGCGUGGUGUAGCGGUGGAAUGCAUAGAUAUCACGCAGAACUCCGAUUGCGAAGGCAGCAUACCGGCGCCCGACUGACGCUGAGGCACGAAAGCGUGGGGAUCGAACAGGAUUAGAUACCCGAGUAGUC